This is a long non-coding RNA of Manduca sexta (tobacco hornworm), 449 nucleotides long. RefSeq lists it as uncharacterized. Lineage: Eukaryota; Metazoa; Arthropoda; Insecta; Lepidoptera; Sphingidae. The transcript has 2 exons. The record is from RefSeq and is a predicted model, not a curated record.
AUUCCAGAAGUACAAGUCCGACCUAUAACGGAAUUCCAAUUUCCAAUUCCUUAUCAUUGUGAUUGUCCAUAAAGGAAAGAUAUCACAUAAUAAAUAUUCCUGAUAUAUUGUUUAUAAAAAAUAGACAUGCUAAGGCAAAGGCAUCAUUAAUUACAUACGAAUAAUUUUUUUUGGAACUUGUGUGUUAUUAGUCCAAAGUCAUAACAUAACCUAAAUAAAAUAUGUCAAAAACACAAUGAACAAAUUGACAUUACUUAAAUUUCUCCUUAAGAUAAAUAUAUAAAAAGAAGUAUAAAUGAACAUAUCAAAUCACUUCCAGUAGAAACUACAUAAAAGCUAUUUUUAUCAGGUAUUUCAUCGCCAGCAAGUUGCCAACACUUCCGGCGGAUGUGCGAGAGGAGAUACAACGGCAUCCGGCGCUAUUCUCGUAAUAAAAAUGUUUGUUUGUU